CCUACGGGUGGCAGCAGUGGGGAAUAUUGGACAAUGGGCGAAAGCCUGAUCCAGCCAUGCCGCGUGUGUGAAGAAGGCCUUCGGGUUGUAAAGCACUUUCAGUGGGGAAGAAAGCCUUGGGGCUAAUACCCUCGAGGAAGGACAUCACCCACAGAAGAAGCACCGGCUAACUCCGUGCCAGCAGCCGCGGUAAUACGGAGGGUGCGAGCGUUAAUCGGAAUUACUGGGCGUAAAGCGCGCGUAGGCGGUCUGAUAAGCCGGUUGUGAAAGCCCCGGGCUCAACCUGGGAACGGCAUCCGGAACUGUCAGGCUAGAGUGCAGGAGAGGAAGGUAGAAUUCCCGGUGUAGCGGUGAAAUGCGUAGAGAUCGGGAGGAAUACCAGUGGCGAAGGCGGCCUUCUGGACUGACACUGACGCUGAGGUGCGAAAGUGUGGGUAGCAAACAGGAUUAGAUACCCUGGUAGUC
This 465-nucleotide ribosomal RNA is filed under the name Vreelandella stevensii. RNAcentral describes it as "partial 16S ribosomal RNA". It matches the Rfam family "Bacterial small subunit ribosomal RNA", at positions 338 to 795 of the family's 1533-position model. The record is from RNAcentral. Lineage: Bacteria; Pseudomonadati; Pseudomonadota; Gammaproteobacteria; Oceanospirillales; Halomonadaceae.